CUUCAGCGACCCGAGCCACAGCGGGUCCUGCUCGCCGCGGUCCCGGCCGUAGGUGGCCAGCAGCGCCUGGGCCUC
This 75-nucleotide antisense RNA is filed under the name Kitasatospora cheerisanensis KCTC 2395. RNAcentral's name for it is "ASpks TB sRNA". It matches the Rfam family "ASpks TB sRNA". The record is from Rfam by way of RNAcentral. Lineage: Bacteria; Bacillati; Actinomycetota; Actinomycetes; Kitasatosporales; Streptomycetaceae.